UGCGGUUAAAAGGCUCGUAGUUGGAUCUUGGAGUGUGAGUGAAUGGUCGAUCGAAAGAUUGUGCUGUUCGGCACACUCUUCUCUUCGGUUGCGUGUGUAGUGCCCCUAACUGAGUGCUGCACUCGACCGGAAUUUUUACCUUGAAAAAAUUAGAGUGUUCAAAGCAGACCUGAUUAUGUCUGAAUAUUCGUGCAUGGAAUAAUAAAAUAAGAACUUGGUUCUAUUUUAUUGGUUUUCGGAACUCGAGUUAAUGAUUAAGAGGGACAGACGGGGGCAUCCGUACUCUGCCGUUAGAGGUGAAAUUCUUGGAUCGGCGGAAGACGCGCAACUGCGAAAGUAUUUGCCUAGAAUGUUUUCUUUAAUCAAGAACGAAAGUCGGAGGUUCGAAGACGAUCAGAUACCGUCCUAGUUUCGACUGUAAACUAUGCCAGCUAACGAUCAGACAGCGUUCUCUACGACUUGUCUGGCAGUUUCCGGGAAACCAAAGCUUUUGGGUUCCGGGGGAAGUAUGGUUGCAAAGCUGAAACUUAAAGGAAUUGACGGAAGGGCACCACCAGGAGUGGAGCCUGCGGCUUAAAUUGACUCACACCGGGGA
This 595-nucleotide ribosomal RNA is filed under the name uncultured eukaryote. Its description in RNAcentral is "SSU rRNA". It matches the Rfam family "Eukaryotic small subunit ribosomal RNA", at positions 614 to 1211 of the family's 1831-position model. The record is from RNAcentral.